AUAUUGCGCAAUGGGGGGAACCCUGACGCAGCAACGCCGCGUGAAGGAAGAAGGUUUUCGGAUCGUAAACUUCUUUAAGUGUGGAAGAUAAUGACGGUACACACAGAAUAAGCCACGGCUAACUACGUGCCAGCAGCCGCGGUAAUACGUAGGUGGCAAGCGUUGUCCGGAAUUACUGGGUGUAAAGGGAGCGCAGGCGGGAAGCCAAGUCAGCUGUGAAAACUACAGGCUUAACUUGUAGACUGCAGUUGAAACUGGUUUUCUUGAGUGAAGUAGAGGUUGGCGGAAUUCCGAGUGUAGCGGUGAAAUGCGUAGAUAUUCGGAGGAACACCGGUGGCGAAGGCGGCCAACUGGGCUUUAACUGACGCUGAGGCUCGAAAGUGUGGGGAGCAAACAG
RNAcentral lists this ribosomal RNA (397 nucleotides) under uncultured bacterium. RNAcentral describes it as "bacterial SSU rRNA". It matches the Rfam family "Bacterial small subunit ribosomal RNA", at positions 361 to 775 of the family's 1533-position model. The record is from RNAcentral.